RNAcentral lists this long non-coding RNA (215 nucleotides) under Elaeis guineensis (African oil palm). RNAcentral describes it as "long non-coding RNA (EGUI_LNC016335)". The record is from RNAcentral. Lineage: Eukaryota; Viridiplantae; Streptophyta; Magnoliopsida; Arecales; Arecaceae.
CAACCGAAUGCACCUAGUGCAAAAGUUUUGGAUGACUGAGUUUUUUAUAUAGCCAGUGAGGGCAAGAUGAAUGGUCUUUGUCCGGAACGAGCAAAGUCUAACAGUGAACUUAGGAAGUUCAAAACAAAGUCUUGAAUGUAGUACUCAUCGAACUAGACUUCUCUUUGCAGUAGCAGCCACUGGCUGUAUAAGGGCUUAGGCUUGGGAGGGGCAAG